ACGAAGGAGUUUUGGCGUUUGCGUUCCGCUAGGGUUUCCCCCCAGCUCCGUCACCUUCCCUCGCGCUCGCCGGGAAAAUGGCACGGGUAUAUGUUGGUAACCUGGAUUCUCGUGUUACGGAACGAGAUCUCGAGGACGAGUUUCGCGCGUUUGGAAUUAUAAGAAGUGUAUGGGUUGCCCGAAGACCGCCAGGAUAUGCUUUUAUUGAUUUUGAUGACCAUAGGGAUGCACAAGAUGCGAUCCGUGAGCUAGAUGGUAAAAAUGGCUGGAGGGUUGAGCUCUCUCAUAACUCUAGUGGUGGUGGACGUGGUGGUGGACGUGGUGGUCGAUCUGGCGGUUCCGAUUUGAAGUGCUAUGAAUGUGGCGAGCCUGGGCACUUUGCUCGGGAGUGCCGCCUGCGUGUGGGUUCACGAAGACGUCGAAGUCGAAGUCGCAGUCGCAGUCGCAGUCCAAGAUACCGCAGGAGCCCAAGUUAUGGUCGAAGGAGCUAUAGCCCACGCGGUCGAUCUCCAAGACGUCGCAGCGUGUCUCCUCGGGGUCGCAGCGUGUCUCCUCGUGGUCGCAGCGUGUCUCCUCGUGGUCGCAGCUAUAGCAAGUCACCCCCGUACCGUGCCCGUGAGGAAGUGCCAUAUGCUAAUGGCAAUGGUCGUGAUCGUCGCCGAAGCAGGAGCUGAAUGGUGCAAGCUAAAAAAUGUGGUUUUGUCUGGAUCAUAUCUGGAUUAAGUGUGUUUAGUAGUUUGGACUUGGUACAACUUUGUUUUAGUCGGGCCUCGCCCUCAGCCUCACCUCUUCGAUUUGGAUAAGUUCUCAUUACUGAGUAUCUUCUGGGUUUGCUUCAUUGGUUUUAUGCUCCUGCACUUCCACGGGAUUUCGAUCUUCGCUGCGCUUUGUGCUUCUGCACUUCAGCGGGAUUUGAUUCUUCGCUGCCUCGCCAUGGGAUCUUCAAUUUUUGAAUGAUUGUGGGUCCCGGCCGGCUUCGUCUAUAGAUGCGUCCCUUUUGUCUUUCUCCAGAUCGAUUCAUGCUUCUCAAAUUCUAUUGGCACUUAAUAUAGUUAACUAGAAGGUUUGAGGAGCUGCAUCAAACUCUUCUAUCAGGUAAUUAUAUUUGUUUUACCAGAGCAUGGAAUAGUGGUUUUAUUUUUCAGGUAAUGGGGUAUCACUUCAUAUUGAAAUUAAGGCAAUUAAAUGUUUUCCUUAGCUGUCAGAAUUGGAGCAUGAUCUUUUCUACAUAUUUUUUUGGUUUCGACACAGCUGUCUUUGAUUCUAAUUUUAUAAUGUUUCUUUAACUAAAUUGUGAUUUUCUUCCAAAAUUGAACACUCGCUGCUUUGUCAACCACGAGACCUGAGGGCCCGACUACAGAAUGAUCUCCACUUCGUCGAUUGGCUUCCUAAUUGAUUGAGAUUCGUCUACGUGAUAGUCAUUUCAAUUUCUUCGGCGUCGUCUUCGUACAAAGCAUACGUUUGAUGCCUAUGCUGCUGAGAGCUGCUAUCUGUGUCGCCAUAUUCUCUUUAGACAAGUUAUCUUAACAAGCUCUGCCUCGUCAAGCUUAGAUGGACUAUCUACUUUGGGUUCCUUCAAAGCAUAAUCAUUGAUAUGGGCCUCACAUCGGGUUGAGUCGCUGUAUAUUCGUCCUAGGAAAGUUUGAACCGACUUCUUUCUCCUUGGUGGUGAAAGCAUACUUCAAGAGUUUGACUGCAGGGAUUUAUGUCAUUAUCGAGUGGCACUCUUUUCAGUGUAAUCUUUCUGAAUGGCUUGACCCGGUACUUAUGUGUAGCUGGAAUUUUCACCUCUAUACUUGCUUAAUUGAUCUCUGGUCUGCCA
Syzygium oleosum is the source of this 1822-nucleotide RNA transcript. It is a transcript of the gene named serine/arginine-rich splicing factor RSZ22-like, with no coding region annotated. Lineage: Eukaryota; Viridiplantae; Streptophyta; Magnoliopsida; Myrtales; Myrtaceae. The record is from RefSeq and is a predicted model, not a curated record. The transcript is spliced from 7 exons.